Molecule: long non-coding RNA, 591 nt
Organism: Xenopus tropicalis (tropical clawed frog)
Lineage: Eukaryota; Metazoa; Chordata; Amphibia; Anura; Pipidae
Exons: 3
Source: RefSeq, a predicted model, not a curated record
UCCACAUGAAAGUCUUAAUAGUACCCCAGUUCCCCCACAUGCCCCUCAAAUAGAUUUCAUGAACUGCUGUUAGUCCUCAUUUUAAUGAUGGCAAGUGAUUUAUCUGUAGCUUUUUAAUGGUUUUUGUCUUGUUUUUGAAUCUCUGCUAAAUCCAGAAUGUUUGUGUGACUUUGUACUUCAAAACUUUUUGAGCAUUUUUUUUUGCCUUCUGUGAACUUGUAGCUCAAGUGCAGCACCAAAGGCCCACAGCAUAGGAGAAGCGAGAGACCCGGCAGCAGACGCCGCCAGAGGCAGAGGACCAGCCCCAGGAUGACGGUGGAGCAGAUGAACCGGACCCCGUUCAGUCGCCAGAACAACAAGCUGGACUUUCCCCCCAGUCCUUGUCACCACCACCUGUGUCACCCCCCAGGCAUGCUGCUGCGAAUGUUGCUGCUGCCGGGGGGAGUGGCCAGGACUGAGGAAAAGGACUGGAACAUCCAUCUGUGGAGGGUUCAGUGGGGCUUGAACUGGCGGCACGUAUCUUGGUAGCCGGUCUCGGGCCUGUUCUUGGCACGCAAAGCAGCCACUUUCUUUCUCAAAGGCGGCUAAAAA